GAUAAACGCUAGCGGCAGGCCUAACACAUGCAAGUCGAGGGGCAGCGGAAGAAGUAGCUUGCUACUUCUGCCGGCGACCGGCGCACGGGUGCGUAACGCGUAUGCAACCUACCUUUAACAGGGGGAUAAUCCGAAGAAAUUUGGUCUAAUACCGCAUAAGACCACAGCACCGCAUGGUGCAGGGGUAAAACUCCGGUGGUAUGAGAUGGAUCCGCGUCUGAUUAGCUAGUUGGUAAGGUAACGGCUUACCAAGGCAACGAUCAGUAGCCGACCUGAGAGGGUGACCGGCCACAUUGGGACUGAGACACGGCCCAA
RNAcentral lists this ribosomal RNA (315 nucleotides) under uncultured bacterium. RNAcentral describes it as "bacterial SSU rRNA". It matches the Rfam family "Bacterial small subunit ribosomal RNA", at positions 28 to 334 of the family's 1533-position model. The record is from RNAcentral.